This 72-nucleotide transfer RNA is filed under the name Pseudomonadota bacterium. Its description in RNAcentral is "tRNA-Lys". It matches the Rfam family "tRNA". Rfam says of the family: Transfer RNA (tRNA) molecules are approximately 80 nucleotides in length. Their secondary structure includes four short double-helical elements and three loops (D, anti-codon, and T loops). Further hydrogen bonds mediate the characteristic L-shaped molecular structure. tRNAs have two regions of fundamental functional importance: the anti-codon, which is responsible for specific mRNA codon recognition, and the 3' end, to which the tRNAs corresponding amino acid is attached (by aminoacyl-tRNA synthetases). tRNAs cope with the degeneracy of the genetic code in two manners: having more than one tRNA (with a specific anti-codon) for a particular amino acid; and 'wobble' base-pairing, i.e. permitting non-standard base-pairing at the 3rd anti-codon position. Lineage: Bacteria; Pseudomonadati; Pseudomonadota. RNAcentral also lists the same sequence under 1 other name. The record is from RNAcentral.
GAUCGCGUAGCUCAGUGGUAGAGCAUCUGCCUUUUAAGCAGAGGGCCGAUGGUUCGAUCCCAUCCGCGAUCA